UUGGACCUGAUAUCACGCAAGAUUACCCGCUGAACUUAAGCAUAUCAAUAAGCGGAGGA
Molecule: ribosomal RNA, 59 nt
Rfam family: Eukaryotic large subunit ribosomal RNA